Molecule: transfer RNA, 86 nt
Filed under: Candidatus Obscuribacterales bacterium
Lineage: Bacteria; Bacillati; Candidatus Melainabacteria; Candidatus Obscuribacterales
Description: tRNA-Tyr
Rfam family: tRNA
About the family: Transfer RNA (tRNA) molecules are approximately 80 nucleotides in length. Their secondary structure includes four short double-helical elements and three loops (D, anti-codon, and T loops). Further hydrogen bonds mediate the characteristic L-shaped molecular structure. tRNAs have two regions of fundamental functional importance: the anti-codon, which is responsible for specific mRNA codon recognition, and the 3' end, to which the tRNAs corresponding amino acid is attached (by aminoacyl-tRNA synthetases). tRNAs cope with the degeneracy of the genetic code in two manners: having more than one tRNA (with a specific anti-codon) for a particular amino acid; and 'wobble' base-pairing, i.e. permitting non-standard base-pairing at the 3rd anti-codon position.
Source: RNAcentral
GGGCGGAUGUCCGAGUGGUUAAUGGAGGCGGCCUGUAAAGUCGCUGGCUUACGCCUACGCUGGUUCGAACCCAGCUCCGCCCACCA